This 504-nucleotide ribosomal RNA is filed under the name uncultured bacterium. Its description in RNAcentral is "bacterial SSU rRNA". It matches the Rfam family "Bacterial small subunit ribosomal RNA", at positions 28 to 524 of the family's 1533-position model. The record is from RNAcentral.
GAUGAACGCUAGCGGCAGGCUUAAUACAUGCAAGUCGAGGGGGAUCAGUUGGGUAGCAAUACCUGGCUGUGAGACCGGCAAACGGGUGAGGAACACGUACGCAACUUUCCCAAAACUGGUGAAUAGCCCUCCGAAAGGAGGAUUAAUACACCGUAACAUAACGAAAUGGCAUCAUUUUGUUAUUAUAGCAGCAAUGCGGUUUUGGAUAGGCGUGCGCCUGAUUAGGUAGUUGGCGGGGUAACGGCCCACCAAGCCUACGAUCAGUAACUGGUGUGAGAGCACGACCAGUCACACGGGCACUGAGACACGGGCCCGACUCCUACGGGAGGCAGCAGUAAGGAAUAUUGCUCAAUGGCCGAAAGGCUGAAGCAGCAACGCCGCGUGGAGGAUGAAAUACUUUUGUAUGUAAACUCCUGUAAGAAGGGAAAAAUAUUUCGAUUUAUCGGAAUUGAUUGUACCUUCAGAGUAAGCACCGGCUAACUACGUGCCAGCAGCCGCGGUAAA